GUUCAACACCGAGUACUAACUAAAGUGUUGACCGACAGCGCAUAUGAGCGAACGAAGAGAGCUCAUUACGCAAAUAAAAGUGCCAACACCAAUGACGUAGAACUGGGUGUUGAACAUUACUUAGUGGCGAACGGGUGAGUAACGCGUAGACAACCUGCCUUCUAGAUGGGGACAACACUGCGAAAGUGGUGCUAAUACCGAAUGUUGUAUUGAGCCUGCAUGGGCUCGAUACUAAAGGUGGCCUCUAUUUAUAAGCUAUCACUAGAAGAUGGGUCUGCGUCUGAUUAGCUAGUUGGUGAGGUAAUGGCUCACCAAGGCGAUGAUCAGUAGCCGGUCUGAGAGGAUGAACGGCCACACUGGGACUGAGACACGGCCCAGACUCCUACGGGAGGCAGCAGUGGGGAAUCUUCCGCAAUGGACGAAAGUCUGACGGAGCAACGCCGCGUGAGUGAAGAAGGUUUUCGGAUCGUAAAGCUCUGUCUUUGAGGACGAAUGUGUCUAAUGUGAAUAAUGUUAGAUAAUGACGGUACUCGAGGAGGAAGCCACGGCUAACUACGUGCCAGCAGCCGCGGUAAUACGUAGGUGGCAAGCGUUGUCCGGAAUUAUUGGGCGUAAAGCGCGCGCA
This 625-nucleotide ribosomal RNA is filed under the name uncultured Bacillota bacterium. RNAcentral's name for it is "bacterial SSU rRNA". It matches the Rfam family "Bacterial small subunit ribosomal RNA", at positions 70 to 573 of the family's 1533-position model. The record is from RNAcentral. Lineage: Bacteria; Bacillati; Bacillota.